GAUGAACGCUAGCUACAGGCUUAACACAUGCAAGUCGAGGGGAAACGAUAGAGAAAGCUUGCUUUUUCAGGCGUCGACCGGCGCACGGGUGAGUAACGCGUAUCCAACCUGCCCACCACUUGGGGAUAACCUUGACGAAAGUAAGACUAAUACCCAAAUGACGUCUCUAGAAGACAUCUGAAAGAGAUUAAAGAUUUAUCGGUGAUGGAUGGGGAUGCGUCUGAUUAGCUUGUUGGCGGGGUAACGGCCCACCAAGGCGACGAUCAGUAGGGGGUUCUGAGAGGAAGGUCCCCCACAUUGGAACUGAGACACGGUCCAAAACUCCUACGGGAGGCAGCAGUGAGGAAUAUUGGUCAAUGGACGAGAGUCUGAACCAGCCAAGUAGCGUGCAGGAAGACGGCCCUAUGGGUUGUAAACUGCUUUUAUAAAGGAAUAAAGUCGGGUAUGGAUACCCGUUUGCAUGUACUUUAUGAAUAAGGAUCGGCUAACUCCGUG
This 495-nucleotide ribosomal RNA is filed under the name uncultured bacterium. Its description in RNAcentral is "bacterial SSU rRNA". It matches the Rfam family "Bacterial small subunit ribosomal RNA", at positions 28 to 507 of the family's 1533-position model. The record is from RNAcentral.